AACGAACGCUGGCGGCGUGUUUAAGACAUGCAAGUCGCACGGGAUCAUUUUGGUAGCAAUACUCGGAUGGUCCAGUGGCGCACGGGUGAGUAACACGUGAAUGACAUGCCCUUCAGUGGGGGAUAGCCCAGGGAAACUUGGAUUAAUACCCCAUGGUCUCGCGAGAGUAAAGGUGGCGCAAGCUGCCGCUGGAGGAUUGGUUCGCGUUCUAUCAGCUUGUUGGCGGGGUAACGGCCCACCAAGGCUACGACGGAUACCUGGUCUGAGAGGACGAUCAGGCACACUGGAACUGAGACACGGUCCAGGCACCUACGGGUGGCAGCAGUCGAGAAUAAUUCACAAUGGGGGCAACCCUAUGGUGCAACGCCGCGUGGAGGAUGAAGGUCUUCGGAUUGUAAACUCCUGUCAUCCGGGAGCAAGACCUGACGGUGAAUAGCCGGCAGGGUUGAUAGUACCGGAAGAGGAAGGGACGGCUAACUUCGUGCCAGCCGCCGCGGUAA
This 500-nucleotide ribosomal RNA is filed under the name uncultured bacterium. RNAcentral's name for it is "partial 16S ribosomal RNA". It matches the Rfam family "Bacterial small subunit ribosomal RNA", at positions 29 to 523 of the family's 1533-position model. The record is from RNAcentral.